UACGAAGGGGGCUAGCGUUGUUCGGAAUUACUGGGCGUAAAGCGCGUGUAGGCGGCAAUGCAAGUCGGGCGUGAAAUCCCACGGCUCAACCGUGGAAGUGCACUCGAAACUGCAUAGCUAGAGUCCUGGAGAGGAAGGUGGAAUGCUUGGUGUAGAGGUGAAAUUCGUAGAUAUCAAGCGGAACACCGGUGGCGAAGGCGGCCUUCUGGACAGUGACUGACGCUGAGACGCGAAAGCGUGGGGAGCAAACAGG
This 253-nucleotide ribosomal RNA is filed under the name uncultured bacterium. RNAcentral describes it as "partial 16S ribosomal RNA". It matches the Rfam family "Bacterial small subunit ribosomal RNA", at positions 524 to 776 of the family's 1533-position model. The record is from RNAcentral.